AAACACUGGGCCGCCUGCAGCGGAGCACAUGAACUUAACCACUCGGCCACAGGGCCAGCCCCUAAGAUGUUUUUUCAUCAGGAAAAUUAGCUUAGUUAAUCCUCACAACCACUUGGACUAUUUGGUAACCAUUUUGCAGAUGAGGGAACUGAGGCUCAGCGGGGACUGUCUUCAGAGAGUCAGUAACUUUUUCAGGGUUUUGGGUCCACGGCAUGAGCUUCUUCCUCAGGUGUGGGUCUUUGCCCUCAAGAGACUUCCAAGUGACCCUGCCGUGGCGGCUCUGUGGAACACUGCUGUUUGUCCUGGCGUGAUUCUCUACUGAACUUCAAGAUGAAUAAAGAAGUAGUUUCUGUUGUUCAGUGGCAUUAAAAUGGGGAUCAUGAAACGUAGCAGUCCUAGGCAGUGUUCUGGGUCAGCAGCCUGGGUGGGUUAGCUUAGAGUGGUCCCAAGGUCUUGAGCUUUGCCCACACCCAGUGGACCUCAGCAUUUGACCUGUUGACCUCUUCUUUUUCAAACUCUUCUCCCUUAGCUUCUGGGACACACUCUCCCAUUUGUAUCUCUAUGUUCCUUCUUGGUCUCUUUUGGCUCAAGCACCUUCUCUACCCCUUUAAUGUUAAGAAAUCUUAAGAGCCUGUGGUCUUCUUCACUUCUGACUCAGCAUUUUCUCCCUGGUUGAUGUCAUUCAUUCCCAAGGUUUCGACUCCACCGAUUUCCUAAUAAUUCCAAAAUCUGUAUCUUCAGCUCAGAUUUCUUCCUUGAGCUUCCGACUCCUAUAUUCAGCUGCAUGAUGGGUACUUCCACCUGGAUGAUCUAAAUAAACUUUAGCUUAACAUUUCUAAAGCCAACUCCAUUAUUUUCCCAUCAAAUCUACUUCUUUUGUUUACUCUCCCAGUUGGUGGUUCCAUUAUCUUCCUGAUCACUCAAGCACAGAACCUGGAUUUUUCUCUUCACUCACACCUAUUUACCAUCAGUUAAGGAAAGCUGAUAUUACUUCCCUUUCCUGUUACCACUGUUUUUGUUCAGUUCCUAAUCCUUUCUAACCUCAACCAACCACAACCUCCUGUUAUCACCCCUGCCUCUCAUUUUGUCCACAUUCAAAUCUAGCCACCAAAGUAAUCUCUCUGAAGCACAAAUAUUACCAUCAUUCCCUUGCUUAAAAAUCCUUCAGUUGCUCUUGAUAGCUUUCAGAGUAACGUUUACAUUCCUUAAUGUGGUAUACACGGAAGGCCCUUCGAUCUGCCUCCUGUGUGUCUCUGCCUUAUGCUUCAUACUGCACAGCAGCAAUCUCCUCGUAGUUCCUUGUUCUCACCGUUGCUCUUUUGCAGGCAUAGCACAGUACCUGGCAUGGAAUAGGUGCUCAUUAGUUGAACGAUGGUGAAAUGUAUCUAGACCCACUGGACUAGAAGUAUCCCAGGUUCAGAGCUUCUAGAAUAGGAUACUAGAGAACCAACUUAAUUAGAGAACCUAGAAGUUCCCUUAACUGAGGGGGUGUGUGAACCUCACUGACAUUAUAAAAUUCUUUUCUGCUCUUGGCUUUUUGGUGAGGGACUUGAACUGCAGCGCUGUCCUCGGGUUCAGGAGACUUAGACUAGUCUUCGAUCUGUCACUUGGGGCAACUCCCAGCCCAUCUUUAGGCCAAGAACCAGUGGGUGAGCAAGGCAGUUAAGAGAAUGGGCUCAGGAGCCAGGCUGCCGGGUUGGAAUUCUAGCUGCUCCUCUCAGUAGUUAACCUCUCCUUGUCUCAGUUUCUCUGUCUGUACAAUGAGUGUAAUAAUAGUCCCUGUCUCACAGAACUGUUAAAUUAGAUCAGUUAACAUAGUGCCUCAUACAGAGGAAGUGGUGAACUGCCUAGAUUCCUCUGCCCCUAGGCUCCCAGAGCCCUCAUCUUGCUCCUAGAACUCCUGGACAGCCAUAAUAUCCCUUCUUGCUCCUGGCUUGUUUCCAUUCUCCCAGACCUCUAUCUUUGAGAAUCCAGGUCUGUGCUGAGGUCUGAUUGAUGAUCAUUGUGUCAUCUCUUGGGAACAUCUGCUUAACUGUCACCCUUCCUGGACAGGCAGAGUUGCCCCAAGAAGUUGUGCCCUUGGUAGUUGUAAUGUUGAGUCUCUUUCAGUUCUGUCUGUUAGAGCCUGUCUGGGCAAAAGUCUUUUGGGCCCAGCCCUUGGAAGCACUCCAGCUGAGCCCAGGCCCGGGCCACUCCCCUGAUUUAUGCUGGAUUUCCCCAUAUAAAAUGGACAGAGGUAGAUACUUCCAUCAUUCUAGACAUGCUCAUUUUUAUCUGCUUACUUUCCAAGAUGACGUAUUAAAGUUAGCGCCUAAGUGCUAAAGAGGCUGUCAAAAAUAGAAGGUGCAGAGUCAAGACACUCUGGGACAUGACCUUACCCAUGAGAUGUGCUUUACCCUAGUGCCACACUGCUGCCCUCCUUCCCUUCCUCAGUUUCUUUCCGUGUUUCUCCAAGUGGUAUUUUAAUUUUUUGCAACUCUGGUGGAAAAGAAAAUGGCAAGCCCACCGCACAGGUCCAUUUCCUCUGGUCCUAAUCCUGGGCAGAGCCACUUAUGUCCUGAAAUUAGGUAGAUUCAGAGAAGAGACAGCAAUAAGGCUCACUUAAUAAGUCACUUAGCUAUCUGUCUGCACCAAAGUUCCUCAAGGUGUGACCCAAGCAAUACCUCUUAUUAUAGUUCCCUUGGGGGUAGGAGAGUUGCUGAAAUGCAUAUUCCUGCGUCCUUCCCUUAUCCUAUAGAACCAGGGGCCUGAGAUUAAGUGUUGUGAACAAGCUUAUUGGGUGACUCUUAUGCUGACUGAAGUUGAGAAUCAUGGCCUUAGAGGUUGGGUUUCAGAUUGAGAUGGCCUGGAUUAGGGACUGCAGUCUGGCGGAGGGCUGAGCAACCUUACUGAGUGCAACUUGGGAAGGUGGUUGGGGUUCAGCCCACAACAUCCCACUUAAACAUCCAGGUUUUCAUAAGUAGCGUGUUCUCGAGACUGUGCUGGAGAUGGAGGAGGAUGUGGGGCAUCCAGCAGCCAUCCUGCCGGAAGGUAGAGAGCACAGAAGUAAUGACCCGUCUUCCUGCCCCCAGCCGCAAGUGAUGGAAUUAGUCAGGUGGGUCUGACCCAAACGUGUACCAUCCUCACCUUAGCUUCAUUCAUUCAGCAGAUAUUUUUUGAGCACCUCCUAUGUGUCAGGCGCUGUUAUUGGUGCUUGGGAUACAUUCACGAGCAAAGCAGGGAUCCCUGCCCUUGUGGAGCUUACAUGCCAGAGCUCCCCAAAGGGCCAUGCAAGAAAAGGUGGGCUCACUCUGUGGCAGGAGGCUGAAUGUUCAGAAGCUCAGGGAGGCUCUGGGCCCCGGCAGGUCUCCGAGGCUGGCUCUGGGAUCUCCUCAUACUAGUGAGUCAUGUGUGCCUGCAUGUUGAAGACAGUCUGUCCUCUUAGACCUCUGACGGAGAGGUUAAGUGACUUCAGGGACUCCAGAUGCCAAAGUGAGAAGGACAGGAAAAGGGAAAGUUGUUAGGAAGACAGUAGGAGAUAUCCCCAGAGACAUUUGGGGUUUCCUGACCAGAAUGGGAUUGAGGCAAUGGAGUAGAAGUUUUGGGCUGAUAGCCGUGGUAUAUAGUGGGGGGUAGGGGGCAUCCUAGAAGAGAAGUUCUGAAUCCAGGUCAUCAGGAACACCUAGGAGAUUUUGUAAAACAUAAAUUCUGCCCCCAUCCCCACUCCUACAGGAAGACAGAAUCAGCUCUCCAGAGGCACGUAGAGGCUGCAGGGUUCCAAAGGUGGAAAUAAAGGCAAAAAGCAGCAGUGGAAAAGACCAGGCCCAGGCCUUAGUCAACAGAGGGAAAGGGGUCUGCGUGAAGCUCUUUAAGGGCAUAUGUAACCGAUACACCCCAUGCUGGCCUUGUCCUGGAGUUUUAGCAACAGAAAAUAGAGAAAUGGAGCUAGGCUAAAGGUCAGGAAAUGUUGGUCCUAAUGUCAGUGCUGUCAUUUAGUGGCUCUGUGACCUUGGACAAAUCACUUCACCUCUCUGAGUCUCAGUUGCUUGAUCUGUAAAAUUCAGGAAUUAGACUUAUUGGUUGCUAGGGUCUCUUUCCAGCUCUGAAAGUCUGGGUCUGUGACUCUAAAGAGUGAUAUGGUUUUGCCAGCUUUAGCUGGUGCAUUAUGUUUGGAGGACCAGAGCCUGGUGCCGCCCCUUGUUUAUGGAGUAUUGGGACUCAGCUGACCUGGGGCCAGCUAAUCCAUUUGCCAGCUUCCAGGCCAGAACCACCUCUGAUCACUUGGUAGAAUUUUCCCCAAAGCGGAACACUGCUUCUGUGGGAAUAAUGUUAAUUAAGUUAGAAAAUUUAGAAAUGAGAGUUCUGUGGCCCAUUGAGUUUGAGUAUCAGUGAGUUAGACACAUUCAACAGCUUUUUUUUCCAGGACUUCUCAGAGCAUCUCUCACCCCAAUAUGCGUUUUGAAUCUCUUAAGAGGGGGGAAUACACAGUAUUUCCCAAACUAAUUUGAUUGUGGGAUCCAUUUUUCUGAGGAGCAUCUCAUCAGAUUAGUGUUUCAUAGAGCACCUCCAGAAAGAAGUUUCACCUCUCUUUCUUUAAAAACAACAACAGAAAGUUAGAUGGCCCUUACUCACUUUUUCCCAAAUUCUUGACCUUCAAAAAGGGUAGGAAUGUCCACUUUUUCUACUUGAAUCCUAGAGGCUGGCAGUCUUGUCACAGUCUUUCUAGGGCAGCCUUGUAGGCAGUGCCAGUGAUUUUGUGCUACUUGCUGUUGAAUUCCCAUUGAGUUGACACCCCUCCUGGGUCCCCAGAUCAAACCCCUACGUCUCCCUGCAGCACAUGCUCACCUUGACAGAGAGAUGGAGAAGGGCAAGUCAACAGGGGCUCCUCUGAGCCUAGAGCCUUCUCUUGGUGACCUGGUCUGGGGGUCACUGUGGCUGGACUAACAGGGAGUAGCUGUUGACUCUCUGGUUUGUGGUUGCUUGUCUAUAAGAGACAGGAAAAAAGUUGCCACAGUCCCCCAGCCUAGGCAUAUAUACUUCUCAAGGCUGGGCCAGGCUGGAAGGUGAGCUUAGGAAUGAGGAAUUCGCUAUCUUAUUUGGGCAGGAAAGGCUGAGUUGUACUCAUUUGGACUCGCACACUUUUUACACCCCAUUUCCCAUGCCCCAGUCUUGUCGUUCUGCCCUCUUUCUCCUUUGUCCUUCUUCUGGUUCUUACCAUCUCCCCCCAGUUCUUCUAAGCAGACAGACUCUCCUUCCUCCUCCCCCAUCCCAAUCUCCCAAUCUCUUCUUCACACCCCCUCUGCCCCCCAGCCUGGCAGCCAGCCCUGUAGGAAUGUUAAUUAGCAUUCACGAUUUAAUUAAUUCAGUAGCUAAUUAAUGAUUGGGGACUGGGGGGUGGGGAGCUGGGGUGCAAGGGAGAUGGGGGCUGGAGGUGGCAGGGAGAAGUAGCGGAGGCUGCAGAAGGCAUCGCAGAUGGCUGUGCGGUGGCUGGCACGGUGCCCACCGCCAUGGAUGCAAACACUCACGCGCACGCACACGUACACACACACACACACACAAAAAAAAGGAAAGGGUGAUCGAGGAAUAAAAUAAAACCAGGGAGAGAAGGGCACAGGGGCCCUGGGAACUGGGGGUGGGGAAGGCUCUAGAUCUGUUUGAACCUGCUCCGGAAGUGGAAGAAGAGAAAAAAAGAAACCACCACAGGCGCAGAGAGAAGAGAGCUCUCCCGAUACCCCCCCACCCCCCACCCCAGGCACCCCUCCUCUCUGGCAUGGGAUUCAUGGGCACCAGCUGAGGACAGGGGCCCCUCCCUCUUCCUGCCAUAAAUAUUGGCACAGAGGACUCAGUCUCAGAAGGACAGGACAUUCCCAAAGAAAAUAGUUUUCCUUUUAAGUUGCUUUUUAAAAUAUAUAUGUAUAUAUUUUUUUAAAACAUUGCACCCGUUUUGGUGUGAGGGCGAAGGCGAGUAAAAGAAGGUGACCGAGCCAGGAGGAGAGAGCACAGAUGGCUUGGUGGUGGUAUGGUGUGGACCUCCUACCCGUUCCCUCUUAGGCAUGGGAGUGGAGCGACAGACGGAGAGAGGCGUGAGGACACAAAGGAGGAUGCGCGCCAUUGCCAAGACCCCAAGGAAGAAGGAUGGAGAGUGCUGGCAGUCCUGCCUGGCCCCCAGCCAGUUUCCUGCUGAAGAUGGCCAAGUCCUCUUCCUGGUCUGUAUAUGUCACUAUGCGGGCGUGGUAUGGGAGGGAAGGGCUUGCUUGCUGAGCUGGGAUCUAGAAUGGGAAGGGCACCUUUCUGGGGAUCCCAUUCGGACUCUCCACUCUAACAAGUGAGGUGUCUGAUUUUCUCCCUGGUGCCUUCCUCUCCUCCCGCUCCCUCCACUCCACCCCUCUUUCAUCUCUCUAUCACCACCUGGGUCCUACUGCUUGGCACCCAACCAACUAGAUGCCGCCACACUUGGCAGUGCUGCACUGGCACGUGAACAGUGUCUCAGAUCCUGGUACUGCGGCAAACCCAAAGCCGCCAAACAUGCUCACGACCGCCACUUGGUGGCAGAGAGAGAGAGGGGUGGCGCCUAUAAGUGUGCCAGGCACUGGGCGGUGCUCCAUGCUGGGAGUGGCAUGGGAGGAUGCCCUCAACAGCUGGGCUGCAUCAUUGCUCUCUAGCCAACCCCAACUCUGCCUUCCUCCCAACUAGAUGCCCACCUCCCUCCCACCCUCACUGCCCCCAAGAAAGGGAUUUAGAUGGUACCACACUCAGUGUUUGAGCAGCUAGUCCAAGGGAAGCUGGAGCACAGAGGGACAAGGGCACAGGUGAGAGUCACACCCAAGUCUCCAGGCCAGUGGACUAUACACCUAUUUAGGCAGCAGGGACAGAGAAAAUCUUGGGAGGGAGAAAUGAGAGCCUGGAGAGAGGCCAGCCAGUUGUGUUGUCACAAAGAUGGUGGCAGAAGAGAUUGGGAGGGAAAAUAUAGGAAAGAGAGAUCUUCAGGUCCUGCUGUUGGGUGGUGGGAUGGUUUGUGCUUGUAUGUAUUUUGUUCUGCCCUGUGCCUUGUGAUUAACUGAGCUGUGGUUGAGACAAACCAAUUCUUUCUCCCUUGUUAAAAGGCCUAUGUUCAAUAACAAUCCUAGAAAGAUGGAGAGGUGCUCUAGGCCUAGAGAGGUGAGCAGGUGUUAGGAAGACAAAGGCACCUGGGACUUGUCCUUCCAGAAAGACUAUUCAAGGAGAUUUUGUGUUUGGAAAUUUCUCAAUGGCACCCCAAUUAGAGCUGGAUAAAUUUCCCUAUCUUUGAAAUCCACCCCCGGAAGGGAGACCAUGGAUCAGCAGGGAGCCUUGGUAGAGAGGAAGGCCCCUAGGAGGAGAGUCCUCAGCAUCUGUGGUGACCAGCCCUAUGUUUCCAGAGGCACUGCCAUUGGCAGUCCCAUAAAACUGGACCUUCAGCCUCCAUCUGGAAGGACUUCUAGCAGGUUGGGCUCUCCUUGCUUCCUAGGUAGCCAGAGGCUGUGGGUCAGUGACUAGGAAGAUCUUGGGAUAGAAGAUUUGGCUCUGGGUGAUGUCGGGGGAGGCUGGGUGGCUUUGAAUGGGGAUAGGACCUGCCUACAGGGAAGCAAAGCCAGUGCCAUGCUGAGCUGAGCUGCUUGGGGCUGGGGCAGUUCUGAUUUCAGCAUCUCUGGAAGUGGAUGGCAGCUUCAGCAGAAGCAGGGUGGUUUCCGCAGCAGAGGAAGCAGGGGGCACGCAGCCAAAGGAGCCUGAAACAAAGGAAGUCCACAGGAGGAGACUGGAGAUGGGAAGAAUCAAGGAAAAAGAAGGAGGGGGAUUAGAGGGAGAUGUUCUUUCAAGUCCAACUCCUCCCAACCUCCCACUCACCUGAAUUGAAAGGAGGCCUUUGCUCUCUACAGAAGCUAACACAGCCCCAGGGGUUACUUUCUUCAGAGAUUUAUCACGACCAGCUAUUUCCUGGUUUACUUAUCUCUCCCUUCUAGAAGGUAAGUUCCAUGAGAGCAGGAACUCUGUCUGCUUUAUUUAUCACUCCAUCAUCAGCACCGAGGAAGAUGCCUGCCACUGUCAAUACAUGUCUGUUGAAUGAAUGAACUCGGGGAAAGACCCUCAGAUUUUCCACGACCUGAAGAGGUAAUUUCCCUAAGUCAAGGUCCUCUUGCCAGAGAGGCCACAGUGAAUUUCCACUGGCUUGCAGGCACCGGCUGCUCUCAGCCGUCUUCCAGAGCCAUCUCUGGUCACAAGCAUGUGGAAUGGGUGGGAAUUUCCCUGGCCAAUUGAAAGACAGUAGCUUGUAUGUGAUUAGCCUCCUCCUCCCCAAAGAGAUAAAAAAAUAAGUAACAGUAAUAAUAUUACUGAUAGCUAUUAAGGCACAUAUACCAUGGUCCUGGCACUGUGCUAAAUGCUUGAAUCAAUUAUCUAAUCUGAUCUCACAACCACCUUAUUUUACAGAUGAGGCAGCCAAGAAACAGAGACGUUGAGUGGGCGGCUGAUUGUCACACAGCUCCAAGGUGGUAAAACUAGAAAACGACUGGCAGGGCACAGAGCUAUACCCCAAAGCUGUGGCAUGGGCUCCUCUAUCCAGCUGGACUGUCCCUCAAACACAAGUACAGGCAAAAAAAAAACACAGUACAGGGGGAAAAAGACAGUACAGGUGAAGGUCUAGGAAUCAGUAUUCCUGGGCUGCCUCCAGCUGACAGAAGCCCCAAGCCUCCUACGCUGCUUCCAACUUUUUGAUCUUGAUCCUCCCCUUCAACUCACCACUGCCCAUGCCUCCCCAUCCCCUGCCUCUCCCAAUGUCCCAAGUGGCCUUCAUCCUCUCCAGUUCUCCAUAUCAGCAGAUCUCUAAUGACUAAACCUUUUGCCCUCAGGCCAGAGUGCUUCCAGAACGGCUGAGGGGUGUGGCCUCUCCUUCCUUGGGCCACCUCUAACCCUCACCUUCAGAUUCCUGGAUUUGGAAGGGGACCUUGGUCUGGCUCCACCCAGCCUGCAGGCCCCCAUCUCUACUUCCCUCCUCCUACUGGGGGGCUAGCCAGGCGUGAAGUAAAGCCAUUAAGGAGCUCCACGUGGGGCUGGAUCAGCAUGCUAAUGAAAAUGCAAAUCAGUACCUGGUCUAGGGGUGGAGGGGAUGGGGGCACUGGGAGAACCAAAAGGGGAGUAAAGGAAUUGGAUGGAGUGGGGGGUUACCCUAGAUAAGCAGAAAGCAGAAGCCCUGAAGUUGGGAGAGAAUGGUAUUCCUCCCAUGGCGUCCUUGGGGUGGAGGAUAAGUGUGCAGGUUUGUGAGGGUCUGACAUUCAGUCACCCCCCCCACUGGGGGCCCACCGCCCUUUUACUGCCCCACCUGGUGGGAAGAGUCGAGGUUGGGCCAGAGGGGUCUUUUUGGGCCCUGUCGCUGAGGGCUGGGCGGCGCGGGGGGAAGACCUAAGCUCCAGAUCCUCUCUCCAGAGCAUCUGCUUCCCAGGACGGGAACCAGACAGCGGAUUCCUGGCUAGAAACCCAAGGGGCUUAGCUUUGGGCUAGCACAUGGGUGAGACCUAGAUCACCGAGGUGGGGUCAGCAGCCCUUUAAAAUUGCAAAUCUCUUCCCCACCUUCCAACCUACUCCUCCUCCUCUUCAGGGAAGAAUUUCAAUUGCAAAUUUAUCUCUGCCUCAGUGCAUCCCCCCAAUGCCCUGCCCCUUUCUCUGUGCUUCUCCCAUCACCCACUAUUUAUUACAAACCUUUAACUGCAGCAAAUUUUUUUCCCUCCCUCCAUUUCCCCUCUCCUCAGUCUUUCCUUUCUUCCCUCUUUGAAUCUCUGUGCCCCUUUCUUUGCCCUUCCUAGCUUGAAUUCCAUCUUUCUGGAGAUGAUGUAGAACCAGACGACAGCCUAAGCCAUCCCCCGCCUACACCCCCAGGCCAGUCUUGUUCUGACCACGGCCAUUCCUCCUUUAUUCCGGGCUGUCCUUAAGGGCAUCCCCUCUCCCUCAAGGCACAUCUUAGCUGUGAGAAAAGGAAGGUGACCCCUCAAAGGCCCUGGCAUUUCCCCCUUUGGAGGAGGGAAGGAGGAAGGGGGCGGAUUGGCUGUAGGCUGGAGGUGGGGGGACAGUUAAAAGCAAGGGCCUGGGUAGAGGCAGGGCUGGGGCCCACAAGCAGAGGGGUUAGGGGAGACAGCAGGCAGUGGCGGCGGGGUGAUUAGAGUGAAGAUUGAUGUGAAGGGGCGCCACAGACGGCAGAGAGAGUCAAUAAAACGAGAGGAUCACAUUAGAGGCGACAGAGAGAGCUUUAAAUUACAAGGCUGCUGCCACCGAGGGGGAGGGCAGGAGGCAGGCCUGGAGCCAAGGGAGGGCGGAGAGUUCCGAGGGUGUCGUCAUCCCCGGAGAUGAAUCUUCCAGUUCCAAAAUGGCCCUCAGUCUCCAGAGCUCCCUUGCUGCCCCUUCACUCCCUCCUCCCUGCGUAAUGCUUCCUUCCCUGACAAGGGUGAGGAGAGGAGAAAGGGGAAGAUGGAGAGAAAGCAAUGGAAAAACAGGGGUGUUUUUUUGGUAUUGCCCUUUUCCUCCUUCCAGAUCGGCUCUCUGGUUAUCCUCAGGAUGGGAGGGGAAGGACGGAAGUGCUACUUUCAAAGCUCAGCUAGGGAGCUGUUCCCCAACAAGCAAACAUAAUCACUGAGCUGUAAAUGUUCUUCCAUGGGUGGUGAGAAGAAAGGCACCCCGUAAACAGCUGGACAGGAACUCUGACUUCUCAAUAUGUGCUCCCUGUUCCGGGGGUAGAUGCACAGUAUUUAGGACAGGAAGAACUACGGAACCAGGAGGCUCCCAGACAGACAGUAGGACCCAGAAAGCUACGGAGAAAGAUGUUAUGAGACAGACGGAGAGGCUUGGACUUGAAGUUGUGGAAAGCUGCAAGGCGGGCUCUGUGACCACAGAGACAGGGAGGGCACAGGGAGACUGAAGAAGCAGAGAAUUACAGGAGUCAAGGGGCAGGGCAAGGAAAGAUCAAAGAAACAGGCCUGAGGAAGGAGAGACUGUCCCAUGCCUUGGAGGAGCCAGGGCGUGGGUUGGGUUACCGGGCAGGACUGGAGGCAAGACCCGGCAGGGAUGCUGCCUCGGAAGCCCCCAGCAGGCCAGGAGUCCCCUUGGGUAGAGCCCCCUCCCACGUCUGGCGACCAGGAGAGAAGCAACACCACUGCUCCCUAGUGCUUACAGAGGGAACAUCGCCAAGGAGGGGACAGGCCUGACCGGACACAGAUUGGCUUUCUCCUCCCGGCUCUGCUCCUUAAAACAAAAAACAGAAACCCCUCUGUCUUCUUUUCUCCAAACCCAACGACACAGCAAGGCUCCUUUCCCGGCUGAGUCUGCCAGAGGGCACCAACACGUCUCCUUAAAGUUUGCAUACAAUGAUUUCCAGAUCAGAGCCUUCCAUACGUUUUUGCCUUUUACUUUUCCAAUUGUUCCGUCUAUCCUCUCCCUCACUGAGAGCUGAUUUUCUGAACCUUUCCUUUUCUCUUCCCUCUCUAAAGUUCUUGCCCACGGCACUGCUCUCUGCCACACUCAUUUUGCCCUCAUCUUUCUCCCCUUUCCGUCUCUACCCGUUGCUUUCAAGAGGAGGCAGCCAUGGAGAGGAGGGGAGAGACACAGGAAGGAUGGAGUGUGUGUGCCCUUUGUAAGGGGGGUUGUUUGGUAUAAACAGCCAAUAAACUCUAACUAGAUGAGGUUUAUUCUUUACGGCAGUGGAAGAACAUGGGCUUUGGAUUCAUGCAGACCCAGCUGCAGUCCUGGCUCCCCGCUCACCAGCUGUGCCACCUUGGGCUUUCUUGAGGUGUGCUGCCGGGUGACUGCUGCUGGAGGGGCAGGUGACCCCAAGGGGAAAGGAGCCUCUUGCCCGUGUAUCUCCCUCAGUGAGGCCACAAGUGUCAGGAUGGCAGUGUGGAGCUGUGUGGUCUCAUAGUGCACAGAGAGACUCAGGCUUAGACAACCACACGAGGCCAGCUCUGAACCCUGCUGUGAGAACUUGAAGGGACAGGGAGUUGUGCCCUUGACUUCAGAUUCAGGCUCCUGUCUGAUCCUGGCAUGCGAGGGGGACCUCUGGAGAAGACCUUUGAUCUCCCUGAACUCGAAAGGAAUAACAUGCAAUUCUUCUAGAAUUAUUUGGAAGGACACCACUGUAAGGGACUGUGUAUAUAAAUAAUCCUUCUGGUUCUUUGAUUCACCAUGAACCCUUGUGAUAGUAGUGACUCCAUUUAGAUACCAAUACAGCAACAACUAAUAAUAAUAAAAAUAACAUCUUUGAAUGUU
Non-coding RNA from Equus caballus (horse), 12243 nucleotides. NCBI's taxonomy places the organism in Eukaryota, Metazoa, Chordata, Mammalia, Perissodactyla, Equidae. The record is from RefSeq and is a predicted model, not a curated record.